ACUCCUACGGGAGGCAGCAGUGGGGAAUAUUGCACAAUGGGCGCAAGCCUGAUGCAGCCAUGCCGCGUGUGUGAAGAAGGCCUUGGGUUGUAAAGCACUUUCAGUCGUGAGGAAGGUAGUGUAGUUAAUAGCUGCAUUAUUUGACGUUAGCGACAGAAGAAGCACCGGCUAACUCCGUGCCAGCAGCCGCGGUAAUACGGAGGGUGCGAGCGUUAAUCGGAAUUACUGGGCGUAAAGCGCAUGCAGGUGGUUUGUUAAGUCAGAUGUGAAAGCCCGGGGCUCAACCUCGGAAUAGCAUUUGAAACUGGCAGACUAGAGUACUGUAGAGGGGGUUAGAAUUUCAGGUGUAGCGGUGAAAUGCGUAGAGAUCUGAAGGAAUACCGGUGGCGAAGGCGGCCCCUGGACAGAUACUGACACUCAGAUGCGAAAGCGUGGGAGCAAACAGGAUUAGAUACCCCUGGUAGACUGUCA
RNAcentral lists this ribosomal RNA (471 nucleotides) under uncultured bacterium. Its description in RNAcentral is "bacterial SSU rRNA". It matches the Rfam family "Bacterial small subunit ribosomal RNA", at positions 335 to 802 of the family's 1533-position model. The record is from RNAcentral.